GAUGAACGCUGGCGGCGUGCCUAAUACAUGCAAGUCGAGCGAACAGAUAAGGAGCUUGCUCCUUUGACGUUAGCGGCGGACGGGUGAGUAACACGUGGGUAACCUACCUAUAAGACUGAAUAACUCCGGGAAAUCGGGGCUAAUGCCGGAUAACAUUUAGAACCGCAUGGUUCUAAAGUGAAAGAUGGUUUUGCUAUCAAUUAUUGAUGGACCCGCGCCGUAUUAGCUAGUUGGUAAGGUAACGGCUUACCAAGGCAACGAUACGUAGCCGACCUGUGAGGGUGAUCGGCCGCACUGGAACUGAGACACGGUCCAGACUCCUACGGGAUGCAGCAGUAGGGAAUCUUCCGCAAUAGGCGGAAACCUGACGGAGCGACGCCACGUGAGUGAUAAAAGUCUUCGGAUCGUAAAACUGUGUUAUUAGGGAAGAACAAAUGUGUAAGUAACUGUACACGUCUUGACGGUACCUAAUCAGAAAGCCACGGCUAACUACGUG
RNAcentral lists this ribosomal RNA (496 nucleotides) under uncultured bacterium. Its description in RNAcentral is "partial 16S ribosomal RNA". It matches the Rfam family "Bacterial small subunit ribosomal RNA", at positions 28 to 507 of the family's 1533-position model. The record is from RNAcentral.